UAUUCUCAGGGCGGGGCGCAAUUCCCCACCGGCGGUAAAUCAGCUUAGGCUGAAAGCCCGCGAGCGCUUCAUGAUGAUGAAAAUUCGCCAUGAAGGUCAGCAGAUCCGGUGUAAUUCCGGGGCCGACGGUUACAGUCCGGAUGGGAGAGGGUA
RNAcentral lists this non-coding RNA (153 nucleotides) under Pantoea brenneri. RNAcentral's name for it is "FMN riboswitch (RFN element)". It matches the Rfam family "FMN riboswitch aptamer (RFN element)". From Rfam's summary of the family: The RFN element is a highly conserved domain that is found frequently in the 5'-untranslated regions of prokaryotic mRNAs that encode for flavin mononucleotide (FMN) biosynthesis and transport proteins. This element is a metabolite-dependent riboswitch that directly binds FMN in the absence of proteins. The record is from RNAcentral. Lineage: Bacteria; Pseudomonadati; Pseudomonadota; Gammaproteobacteria; Enterobacterales; Erwiniaceae.